Molecule: non-coding RNA, 72 nt
Organism: Phthorimaea operculella (potato tuberworm)
Lineage: Eukaryota; Metazoa; Arthropoda; Insecta; Lepidoptera; Gelechiidae
Source: the annotation of a GenBank genome assembly
GUGAUGUGGCGCAGUGGCAGUGCGUCUGCCUGCGACGCAGAAGUUUCCGGUUUCGAUUCUCGGUGGGUUACU